This 256-nucleotide unclassified non-coding RNA is filed under the name Hevea brasiliensis (rubber tree). The record is from RNAcentral. Lineage: Eukaryota; Viridiplantae; Streptophyta; Magnoliopsida; Malpighiales; Euphorbiaceae.
GGUUUUUGUAAUUCCAUUUGCUGUUCAAUGUAUCUUGUUUUUUCUUGUCAUUUUAUUUCUGGGUUUAUUUUGUAAAUUGUGUUUUGAUUCAAAUUUUCAUACGUUGGUUGUCAAUUUAUCUGUGACAUUUCGUUUAGGCAAUUGAUGACAAAAUAUUACUACCCCUCUGGAAUUUUAGCUUUUUCUUCCUUGCUCCACCUGCUUGAAAUGAAUUUUAUGAUAUUGGAUAAGAGUAUAAUGAGUUUUAUCUUCUUUU